ACAAAUACUACCAACGACUGAAUACUCCAGUUCUCGUCCGAUCACUGAAGUUAAGCGACGUCGGGCGUGGUCAGUACUCGGAUGGGUGACCAUCUAGUAGAUCAUGUGCUGUUGGUU
Molecule: ribosomal RNA, 117 nt
Filed under: Olea europaea subsp. europaea
Lineage: Eukaryota; Viridiplantae; Streptophyta; Magnoliopsida; Lamiales; Oleaceae
Source: RNAcentral